CCCGUGAGGUGCCAAGUGUGAAGAAAGCCUGUGGGUCUGAGACAUCUCACGGAUGGACUUCGAGACACCAGUGCACAUGUUUUUUUCCUUAAUUCUCACCUUGCCUCCCUGCAGAACCAAUAAGGAAAUGAAAUAAGGACCGUACAGAAAGGGAAAGAAUCGAGGACUAUGUCCACCUUUUUUGUUUCUAAGGCCUGUUAACCCUUGUUUCUGUCUCUGACAGCAGAACCAGUGGAUGGAACAAACAGCCUCCCGUGUAGGAAAGACACUAACGGUUUUUCUCCAACAGGACGGAAAGACAGCAGAAGAGCUCGCUAAAUCAGAGCAGCACGAACACAUAGCAGGUCUGCUUGCAAGACUCCGAAAGGACGCUCACCGGGGACUCUUCAUCCAGCAGCUGCGACCCACGCAGAACCUCCAAUCCAGGAUCAAACUGAAGCUGUUUGGCCACUCGGGCUCCGGGAAAACCACGCUGGUGGAAUCGCUCAAGUGUGGGCUGCUGAGAAGCUUCUUCCGGAGACGCCGGCCCAGACUGUCCUCUGCCAGCUCCACCAGGUUCCCGCCCUUCCCGCUGGCUUCCAAGCCCGCAGGCGAGAAGCACCCACAGGCAAGAAGUGCAGGGUGGCCUGUGGAUGCCUGAGAAGCACCCACAGGAAGCAUGACGGAACUGUACCACUUGAGAUGCUAUUUCUCCUAAGUGCUCUGGAGUGAGGGAAUUCCAUUUUGCACAGGUGGAAGAAUCUGGAAGUAGAUUCUUGAUAAACUGUGGCUCAGGAAGGCCGUGUUAUCACCCAGGGUCACGAGUGUGGCGGCGUCCUUCAGCCAGGGCCGAGAGAGACUGGGUCAUGGGACUCAGUGACGGAAGAUUCUGGCAGGACCAUGUCCGCUCUGGACCAGAGAGGCCUCGCCAGCCACGGAAGGACUCCCAUGCACGGACUCCCACUGUGUCCCUCAUAAACAGACAACAUGUGAGUGCCUUUGCAGAAGAGGGUGUGUCUGAGAGCAGCCGGGUCAGCCAGGAGCUGUCGCCAGGAGACGCCCCCUCUCUGUCCCUUGCUGUCUGCUGAUCACCGCUGGAGGUGCUGCGUUCUGAGCUGGUUUGUCCCCCAGUAGUUUUUGUGUUUCACUUGGCAAGGAAAGGGGAGGAAGGAACCCUCUUCUGAGUCAUUUCACGGCUGGUGGUUUUUUCACAGAAAGACGUGUCUUUGUUGCUCUUGUUUAAACGUCGGCGUGCAGGUCCACGCGGCACCUGCCCAUGGUUCCCUUGCCUCAUUCCUGAUCAUCUCAGGUAGAAGGUGACACAGCUGCAGGUGAGGAAGGCCUGUGGGAGAACUCGGAAGACCCCUGCCCCGUGGCGUGUGGCAGUCUGUUGUCAUCGGUGCACAGCGGACGAUUUUCACAUCUAGCUCCUGGUUCCAUACCUUCGUGUACUUGAAGUCCAACAAGAUGAAGGAAGUCAGUUUCCUUGCAGUUGUGAUGGAGUUUUAAGUUGAUAUGAGGGAACGUGUCCUAAUUCUUCUGUCCUGGGAAGCAUGUAAUUUUAAUGUUCCAUUCCAUGUGUGUAUAUGUGUAUAUAUACAUAAAUAUGCAGUAUGUAUAUACAUAUAUAUGAAUACAGGUAUUUUUACUUAAUCUAUACAAGGUAGUAAAAAGAUGUUGGUUUCUCACUUCUGUUCUCUUUUUUUCUUUUCCCUCUUUUUAGUAUAAAUAAACUAUUGCUUGUUGCAUUC
RNA transcript from Mustela erminea (ermine), 1730 nucleotides. It is a transcript of the gene named death-associated protein kinase 1-like, with no coding region annotated. The record is from RefSeq and is a predicted model, not a curated record. The transcript is spliced from 5 exons. NCBI's taxonomy places the organism in Eukaryota, Metazoa, Chordata, Mammalia, Carnivora, Mustelidae.